GGGUCGUUAGCUCAGUCGGUAGAGCAGCUGGCUUUUAACCAGUUGGUCGUAGGUUCAACUCCUACACGACCCACCA
Molecule: transfer RNA, 76 nt
Filed under: Methylacidiphilales bacterium
Lineage: Bacteria; Pseudomonadati; Verrucomicrobiota; Methylacidiphilae; Methylacidiphilales
Description: Candidatus Methylacidiphilales bacterium tRNA-Lys
Rfam family: tRNA
About the family: Transfer RNA (tRNA) molecules are approximately 80 nucleotides in length. Their secondary structure includes four short double-helical elements and three loops (D, anti-codon, and T loops).
Source: RNAcentral